This 297-nucleotide ribosomal RNA is filed under the name uncultured bacterium. RNAcentral describes it as "partial 16S ribosomal RNA". It matches the Rfam family "Bacterial small subunit ribosomal RNA", at positions 28 to 333 of the family's 1533-position model. The record is from RNAcentral.
GACGAACGCUGGCGGCGUGCUUAACACAUGCAAGUUGUACGGUACGACAUGGAAGCUUGCUGAAGUGUCGUAGAGUAGCGAACGGGUGAGUAAUGCAUGAGAACCUGCCCUUCAGAGGGGGACAACAGCUGGAAACGGUUGCUAAUACCCCAUAAGCCGAGAGGUAAAAGGAGUAAUCCGCUGGAGGGAGGGGCUCAUGUCCUAUCAGCUAGUUGGUAAGGUAACGGCUUACCAAGGCGAAGACGGGUAGCCGGCCUGAGAGGGCGAUCGGCCACACUGGAACUGAGACACGGCCCA